Molecule: long non-coding RNA, 1000 nt
Filed under: Olea europaea subsp. europaea
Lineage: Eukaryota; Viridiplantae; Streptophyta; Magnoliopsida; Lamiales; Oleaceae
Source: RNAcentral
UAAAAAUAAAAAAUAAAAAAUCUAAGUGCCAUUUAUGGGCAAUUAUUGUCUAAAUAAGUAUGGAGGUAUAAUGUGAAGGAUGCUAAUUUAGUAUUAAAAACCAGCCACAUUCAUUUUUAGGGCUACGUCUCAUUUCAUCCACAUUAAAUUCAUAUCCCUGCUAAAACCACCAACAUUUUUUUUUUUUUGAAUUUUCGAGUUUCUACCUUGCAAAUGCUUACUUGAUCCAUUUUGUUCGAGGGUUAAAAUGUUUUAAAAUGGAAAUUUAUAAUCGGUUUUGGUAAAAAGGAAGAUGGGCUUCGAGGUUGGCCAUGAAUUUUUUCACAAGACUCGAUAAAUUUCACAAGAAAUCUUUCUAGUGGACACCAGUCCAACUUUGAUGCAGUCAUUCACGGCACACUAAAAUUGGCUACGAGCUAGAAUGAUCAAGUUGCAACCCAUAACUCAUUUUAUAGUAAGAUUGUUGUCUACCAGAUUGAGAUCUCAAAGAAUCUUUUUGAGCUAUAUUCUUGGCCAGAAGAUUGAGAUUUCAGUGAAUAUUUUUAGCUCUAUAUAUUUACCAUAUUUCCAUUUUGCCACAUUAGUUUUGCCAUUUGGAAUUAAAGAACAUAAAUAUAAGCCACCCUAUAUUUCAAAUACUAUAAUUGACCAAAGAUUGAUUCAAAUCCAACAAAAGGAGCUGAUAAAAUCUACAAAAUUAACAUUCUUGAAUUCCCCAACUAGUUUCCUAAAGCUUACCAAACAUUGAACGGUCUCAGUUGCUAAAAUAAGAUUGUCAUGAUGUUGAAAAAAAAACACUGAGAAGCACUAGCACCGCCAUGCCCCUAACCGCUGCCAAAAGCGGCUUUUGCAUAUUUCUUCUUCUUACAAAUAGGAAUUUGAGUUAGGGCUUCAAAUCCUUCGAUCAUCCAAGAGAUAUAUUUAAGUAAUGAGAGAGAGAGAGAGAGAGAGAGAGAGAGACCAAAAGGCAAUAUAUAUAAAUUUUUGUACUAUUUUUUUU